GGGUUGUCCACUUGUCAAAGAGCCCCACACUGCUCAAAGCUGCCUUCUGCCUGUGUUCCCUGGAACUGAAUACAGACCUGCCUUGAGCCGUCUCUCUGAUCUUUCACACAUUUGAGACCAGGACCUGUGUCCUCCACAAAGCCCUUGGGUAGGAUCUUUCUGUUCAUCAACCCUCUGGCCUAAGGGCUCAGAGGUCAGGCGUCCACUGCAUCCCCUCCCCGGGGAAGUCAAUGUGUUUGAGUCUGAGGAUGUGGGUUCCUCUUUCUCCUUAACCCAACUUGUCUCUCAUUCUUGCUGAUUUCAGAGUCCUGGUAAAUUCUUCCCCUCAGAACCACCCUGAUUUCUUGGUUCUUGAACCGCCUCCUCUCUUCCAACUUCAAAUUUAAGGUCUUAAACGUUUUUAAAUGUGUAUAUAAAUG
This 419-nucleotide long non-coding RNA is filed under the name Rattus norvegicus (Norway rat). RNAcentral describes it as "long non-coding RNA NONRATT027040". Lineage: Eukaryota; Metazoa; Chordata; Mammalia; Rodentia; Muridae. The record is from RNAcentral.